This 253-nucleotide ribosomal RNA is filed under the name uncultured bacterium. Its description in RNAcentral is "partial 16S ribosomal RNA". It matches the Rfam family "Bacterial small subunit ribosomal RNA", at positions 524 to 776 of the family's 1533-position model. The record is from RNAcentral.
UACAGAGGUCUCAAGCGUUGUUCGGAUUCAUUGGGCGUAAGGGGUGCGUAGGUGGCGCCGUAAGUCGGGUGUGAAAUUUCGGAGCUCAACUCCGAAACUGCAUUCGAUACUGCGGUGCUUGAGGACUGGAGAGGAGACUGGAAUUCAUGGUGUAGCAGUGAAAUGCGUAGAGAUCAUGAGGAAGACCAGUGGCGAAGGCGGGUCUCUGGACAGUUCCUGACACUGAGGCACGAAGGCCAGGGGAGCAAACGGG